Molecule: long non-coding RNA, 1433 nt
Filed under: Homo sapiens (human)
Lineage: Eukaryota; Metazoa; Chordata; Mammalia; Primates; Hominidae
Description: non-protein coding lnc-OLFM4-4:3
Source: RNAcentral
AUGUAUGGGAUGAGUGUACAUAAGAGUAGUAGGAAAUGAGCUGUAAUGGGAAGACUAAAAACUGGGAAAUAUUCUCAAAGUUGAAAGAGGAAUAAUGGUAAAAAGUACAGUCAUGCAUUGCUUAAUAAUAGAAUUGUGUUCUUUAGGCAAUUUUGUCCUUGUGUGAACAACAUACAAUGUACUUACACAAACCUAGAUGGUAUAGCUUACUGCACACAUAGGCUGUAUGAUAUAGGCUAUUGCUCCCAGGCUACAAAUCUGUAUAGCAUGUUGCUAUACUGAAUACCAUAGGCAAUUGUAACACUAUGGAAAGUAUUUCUGUAUCUAAACACAUCUAAGUAUAGAAAAUGUAUAGUAAAAAUAUGGUAUAAAAGAUAAAAAAUGGUACACCUGCAUAGGGCACUAACCAUAAGUGGAGCUUGCAGGACAGGAAGUUGCUCUGGAUGAGUCUCCGAGUGAAUGGUGAGUGAAUGUGAAGGCCUAGGAUGCCACUGUACACUCUGUAGACUUUAUAAACACUGUACACUUAGGCUGCACUAAUUUAUAAUUUUUUUCUUUCUUCAAUAAUAAAUUAACCCUAGCUUACAACUAUUUCCUUUAUAAAACUUGAAUUUUUUAACUUUUUGACUCCUUUGUAUAACACUUUGAUUAAAAUACCAACACCUCGUACAGCUGUACAAAAAUGUUUUCUUUUAUAGAUCCUCAUUCUUUAAGCUUUUUUCUAUUUUUAAAUUAAAAUUUUUGAAUUUUUUUAAACAAUUGUGUUAAAAAACUAAGAAAAAAGGACAGACAUUAGCCUAGGACUACAGGGUCAGGAUCAUUAAUAUCACUGCCUUCAACCUUCACAUCUUGUAUCACUGGAAGGUCUUCAGGGGCAAUAACAUGCAUGGAGAUGUCAUCUCCUAUGAUAACAGUGCUAUCUUCUGGAUAUCUGUUGAGGAACCUGCCUGAGGCUGUUUUACAGUUAAAUUUAUAUAUAUAUACGUAUAUAUAUAUCAUAUACACACACAAAUUAUAUAUAUAUAAAGUUAACUAUAUAUAUAUAUACUUAUAUAUAUGUAGAAGCAGUACACUCUAAAAUAAUAACAUUAAGUAUAGUAUAGUAAAUAUAUAAACCAGUAACACAGUUAUUAUCAUUUUCAAGUAUUAUAUACUAUAUAUAAGUUGUAUAUGUUAUACUUUUAUAUGACUGGUAUCACAGUAGGUUUGUUUACACCAGCAUUACCACAAACACGUGAGUAAUAUGUUGCACUGACACAUUAUAAUGGGUAUGACAUCACUAGGUAGUAGAAAAUUUUCAGUUUAAUUAUUAUCUUGGCUGUUGUGGUGGCUCACACCCGUAAUCCCAGCACUUUCGGAGGCCCAGGUAGGAGGAUCAUUUAGGGCCAGGAGUUUAAAAUGAGCAUGGCAACAUAGGGAGACCCUAUCUCUAC